Molecule: ribosomal RNA, 460 nt
Filed under: uncultured bacterium
Lineage: Bacteria
Description: partial 16S ribosomal RNA
Rfam family: Bacterial small subunit ribosomal RNA
Source: RNAcentral
CCUACGGGGAGCUGCAGUGAGGAAUAUUGGUCAAUGGACGGAAGCCUGAACCAGCCAUGCCGCGUGCAGGAAGACGGCUCUAUGAGUUGUAAACUGCUUUUGUACAAGGGUAAACCUGAAUACGUGUAUUCAGCUGAAAGUACUGUACGAAUAAGGAUCGGCUAACUCCGUGCCAGCAGCCGCGGUAAUACGGAGGAUCCAAGCUUUAUCCGGAUUUAUUGGGUUUAAAGGGUGCGUAGGCGGAUUGAUAAGUUAGAGGUGAAAUGUCCGAGCUUAACUCGGGAACUGCCUCUAAUACUGUUGAUCUAGAGAGUAGGUGCGGUAGGCGGAAUGUAUGGUGUAGCGGUGAAAUGCUUAGAGAUCAUACAGAACACCGAUUGCGAAGGCAGCUUACCAAUCUAUAUCUGACGUUGAGGCACGAAAGCGUGGGGAGCAAACAGGAUUAGAUACCCUAGUAGUC